This 709-nucleotide long non-coding RNA is filed under the name Nicotiana benthamiana. RNAcentral describes it as "long non-coding RNA (NBEN_LNC026209)". The record is from RNAcentral. Lineage: Eukaryota; Viridiplantae; Streptophyta; Magnoliopsida; Solanales; Solanaceae.
AGCUAGUAACCAUAUGACGGGAGAUAGGCACAAGUUUCGGGAUCUUGACGAAACAGUGACCGGGAAGGUUAGAUUCGGUGAUGGAUCAGCUGUUGAAAUUCAAGGAAAGGGGACAAUUGCAUUCGUUAGCAGGAAUGGCGGUCAGUGGAUGCUCCAGGACGUGUACUACAUCCCGAAGCUGUGCAACAACCUGAUUAGCCUUGGACAACUCACCGAAUCUGGACACAAAGUUAUCUUGGAUAAAGAUGAACUGGAGGUGUUCAUGAAGAGUCCGUUGCAGUUGAUCAUAAAGGUAAAACGUCAUUUGAAUCGUUUAUAUCACAUUGAGUUACAAGUUGCGAAACCUUUAUGCUUGUUGACAAGUUUGGAAGAACCCGCGUGGUUGUGGCAUGCUCGGUUAGGCCAUGCUAAUUUUCAUUCCAUGAAGUUGUUAGUGGAUCGAAAUAUGGCAGCAGGGGUUCCUAUGUUUGAUCAUCCGAAAUAGUCAUGUCAAGACUGUUUGAUGUCAAGACUGUUUGAUAUCAAAACAGACUCGUCAGCCGUUUCCUGUCAAGACAGAGUAUCAGGCGGAUCAACUGUUGGGUUUGUUGCAUGCUGAUUUGUGUGGACCGAUCACACCUCCUACACCAGCAGAUCAACUGUUGGGUUUAUUGCAUGCUGAUUUGUGUGGACCGAUCACACCUCCUACACCAGCAGGUAGUCGGUAUUU